Molecule: ribosomal RNA, 433 nt
Filed under: uncultured bacterium
Lineage: Bacteria
Description: partial 16S ribosomal RNA
Rfam family: Bacterial small subunit ribosomal RNA
Source: RNAcentral
AACGAACGCUGGCGGCAUGCCUAACACAUGCAAGUCGAACGAGACCUUCGGGUCUAGUGGCGCACGGGUGCGUAACGCGUGGGAACCUGCCCUUAGGUUCGGAAUAACUCCCCGAAAGGGGUGCUAAUACCGGAUAAUGUCUUCGGACCAAAGAUUUAUCGCCUUUGGAUGGGCCCGCGUUGGAUUAGCUAGUUGGUAGGGUAAAAGCCUACCAAGGCGACGAUCCAUAGCUGGUCUGAGAGGAUGAUCAGCCACACUGGGACUGGGACACGGCCCAGACUCCUACGGGAGGCAGCAGUGGGGAAUAUUGGACAAUGGACGAAAGCCUGAUCCAGCAAUGCCGCGUGAGUGAUGAAGGCCUUAGGGUUGUAAAGCUCUUUUACCCGGGAUGAUAAUGGCAGUACCGGGAGAAUAAGCUCCGGCUAACUCCGUG